AUGAUGACUCUCGGCAACGGAUAUCUCGGCUCUCGCAACGAUGAAGAACGUAGCGAAUUGCGAUGCCUGGUGUGAAUUGCAGAAUCCCGUGAACCAUCGAGUCUUUGAACGCAAGUUGCGCCCGAGGCCACCAGGCCGAGGGCAUGCCUGCCUGGGCGUCAUGC
RNAcentral lists this ribosomal RNA (164 nucleotides) under Pinanga patula. RNAcentral's name for it is "5.8S rRNA". It matches the Rfam family "5.8S ribosomal RNA". Rfam says of the family: 5.8S ribosomal RNA (5.8S rRNA) is a component of the large subunit of the eukaryotic ribosome. It is transcribed by RNA polymerase I as part of the 45S precursor that also contains 18S and 28S rRNA. Functionally, it is thought that 5.8S rRNA may be involved in ribosome translocation. Lineage: Eukaryota; Viridiplantae; Streptophyta; Magnoliopsida; Arecales; Arecaceae. The record is from RNAcentral.